AGAGUUUGAUCAUGGCUCAGAUUGAACGCUGGCGGCAGGCCUAACACAUGCAAGUCGAACGGUAACAGGAAACAGCUUGCUGUUUCGCUGACGAGUGGCGGACGGGUGAGUAAUGUCUGGGAAACUGCCUGAUGGAGGGGGAUAACUACUGGAAACGGUAGCUAAUACCGCAUAACGUCGCAAGACCAAAGAGGGGGACCCUCGGGCCUCUUGCCAUCGGAUGUGCCCAGAUGGGAUUAGCUUGUUGGUGGGGUAACGGCUCACCAAGGCGACGAUCCCUAGCUGGUCUGAGAGGAUGACCAGCCACACUGGAACUGAGACACGGUCCAGACUCCUACGGGAGGCAGCAGUGGGGAAUAUUGCACAAUGGGCGCAAGCCUGAUGCAGCCAUGCCGCGUGUAUGAAGAAGGCCUUCGGGUUGUAAAGUACUUUCAGCGGGGAGGAAGGGAGUAAAGUUAAUACCUUUGCUCAUUGACGUUACCCGCAGAAGAAGCACCGGCUAACUCCGUGCCAGCAGCCGCGGUAAUACGGAGGGUGCAAGCGUUAAUCGGAAUUACUGGGCGUAAAGCGCACGCAGGCGGUUUGUUAAGUCAGAUGUGAAAUCCCCGGGCUCAACCUGGGAACUGCAUCUGAUACUGGCAAGCUUGAGUCUCGUAGAGGGGGGUAGAAUUCCAGGUGUAGCGGUGAAAUGCGUAGAGAUCUGGAGGAAUACCGGUGGCGAAGGCGGCCCCCUGGACGAAGACUGACGCUCAGGUGCGAAAGCGUGGGGAGCAAACAGGAUUAGAUACCCUGGUAGUCCACGCCGUAAACGAUGUCGACUUGGAGGUUGUGCCCUUGAGGCGUGGCUUCCGGAGCUAACGCGUUAAGUCGACCGCCUGGGGAGUACGGCCGCAAGGUUAAAACUCAAAUGAAUUGACGGGGGCCCGCACAAGCGGUGGAGCAUGUGGUUUAAUUCGAUGCAACGCGAAGAACCUUACCUGGUCUUGACAUCCACGGAAGUUUUCAGAGAUGAGAAUGUGCCUUCGGGAACCGUGAGACAGGUGCUGCAUGGCUGUCGUCAGCUCGUGUUGUGAAAUGUUGGGUUAAGUCCCGCAACGAGCGCAACCCUUAUCCUUUGUUGCCAGCGGUCCGGCCGGGAACUCAAAGGAGACUGCCAGUGAUAAACUGGAGGAAGGUGGGGAUGACGUCAAGUCAUCAUGGCCCUUACGACCAGGGCUACACACGUGCUACAAUGGCGCAUACAAAGAGAAGCGACCUCGCGAGAGCAAGCGGACCUCAUAAAGUGCGUCGUAGUCCGGAUUGGAGUCUGCAACUCGACUCCAUGAAGUCGGAAUCGCUAGUAAUCGUGGAUCAGAAUGCCACGGUGAAUACGUUCCCGGGGCCUUGUACACACCGCCCGUCACACCAUGGGAGUGGGUUGCAAAAGAAGUAGGUAGCUUAACCUUCGGGAGGGCGCUUACCACUUUGUGAUUCAUGACUGGGGUGAAGUCGGAACAAGGUAACCGUAGGGGAACCUGCGGUUG
RNAcentral lists this ribosomal RNA (1523 nucleotides) under metagenome. RNAcentral describes it as "bacterial SSU rRNA". It matches the Rfam family "Bacterial small subunit ribosomal RNA". The record is from RNAcentral.